RNAcentral lists this long non-coding RNA (5000 nucleotides) under Brassica napus (rape). RNAcentral's name for it is "long non-coding RNA (BNAP_LNC018175)". The record is from RNAcentral. Lineage: Eukaryota; Viridiplantae; Streptophyta; Magnoliopsida; Brassicales; Brassicaceae.
UCAUUGUGCCCUAGUUUCCAUUAUCGAGAGAGAGAGAGAGAGAGAGGGUAAAAAUGGCGGGAGAAGAUUCAGACAACCAGCCGUCGUCGCCAGCUUCACCUUCCUCGGCUGGGUUCAACACCGACCAGUUACCUUUCAGUACGAGCCAGAACUCCGAGAAUAUUUCCGAUGAAGAAGCAGAGGUAGAUCCGCAAAUCAUAAGAGAUGAGCCGGAGGAGGAAGAAGAAGAAGAUGGAGAAGAUCUCUUCAACGAUAACUUCCUCCAGUAAGCACGCCUUUCACUUACAAAAUAUUUCGUCUUAGUUUUAUAAUUUGCUAAAUUGUUUUUUUUUAAAAUUAAAUUAAAAUUGACAGAGACUAUGGAAGAAGAGAUGAGCAAGAUCAGUAUGAGUCUGUUGGAUUGGACGAUUCGGUAGACGAUGAUAGGGAUUUAGGUCAGAUUGCGCUUGACCGUCGCGCCGCCGAUGCUGUCCUCGAUGCUCGUGAAAGUCGCUUCGCUAACCGCAAGCUUCCUCAUCUUCUUCACGACAAUAAUGGUAACCUCUAAUCUCCUCCUGUUCACUAACUGAAUUUUGAAUGAAAUCUGAAACCCUAAUUAAGGAUACACGGUUCAGAUUCAGAUGAUUGGAACUAUAGACCUUCCAAGAGGGCUCGAGCUGCGGUUCCGCCAAGAGAUCCUGAUGGAGACCCAAGUUCCCAGCCUGAUGUUUCUAUGACUGAUCAAACAGAUGACUAUCAAGAUGAGGUAUAUAUGAUUGAUUAUUAUGUGUCUUUCAGUUCUAUUAGCAGUGCUAAUCGUGUUCUCGUAAAUUUAGGAUGACAACGACGAUGAAGCAGAGUUUGAGAUGUAUCGGAUCCAAGGAAGUCUGAGGGAAUGGGUUAUGAGAGACGAAGUGCGUCGUUUCAUUGCCAAGAAGUUCAGAGACUUCUUGCUCACUUUUGUCAAACCAAACAAUGAGAAUGGAGAAUAUGUUCGUCUGAUUAAUGAAAUGGUCUCAGGUACUUUUUUUUUUUUUUUGUUUGCUACUGCACUUUGUAGAGCUAUAAGAAUGAGAUAGCAGCUUUCUGAUACUGGUAUGUAUAUGUCAUCUCUCUUAUCUGCAGCUAAUAAGUGCAGUCUAGAAAUUGACUACAAAGAGUUCAUACAUGUCCCCCCGAAUAUUGCCAUCUGGCUAGCCGAUGCUCCACAACCUGUUCUUGAAGUCAUGGAGGAAGUUUCAGAAAAGGUCAUCUUUGAUCUGCACCCAAACUACAAGAAUAUUCACCAGAAGAUUUAUGUUCGUGUUACCAAUCUACCAGUAAAUGACCAGAUUCGGAACAUAAGGUAAUUAAUAUUGAUUGAGCUGAACAUAUCGACAGUGGUGAAUUUAUAAUUCUUCAGCUUAACCCUUUUCUGUCGGUGACUUUUUCAGGCAGAUUCAUCUUAACACUAUGAUCCGCAUUGGUGGAGUUGUCACGAGGCGCUCUGGGGUCUUUCCUCAGCUGCAGCAGGUGAAAUAUGACUGCAACAAGUGUGGAGCGGUUUUGGGACCUUUCUUCCAAAACUCUUAUUCAGAAGUCAAGGUCGGUUCUUGCUCUGAAUGCCAAUCAAAAGGACCGUUUACUGUUAAUGUCGAACAGGUAAGGAUUCUAUUGUCUCUCUCUCUAUCAUUUCCCUUUGAAUAAAUGAGCUUCACUGUAAGCUUUAAAUUUAGAAAUGUGAUGUUUAACAUGCUUCUGUUAAUUACUCUCCUUGCUUCAGACAAUAUACAGGAACUAUCAGAAGCUUACCAUUCAAGAGAGUCCAGGAACAGUGCCUGCUGGACGACUUCCAAGACACAAGGAAGUUAUCUUGCUGAAUGACCUUAUUGAUUGCGCUCGUCCUGGAGAAGAAAUUGUACGUUCAUAUACCUUACUCUUCUAGAAUACUUAGAUGAUUGAUAUUAUCUUGCAUGAUAUGUAUUCCAGGAGGUUACUGGGAUAUAUACCAACAAUUUUGACCUCUCUUUGAACACAAAGAAUGGUUUUCCUGUCUUCGCCACUGUGGUGGAAGCAAAUUAUGUUACAAAGAAGCAAGACCUCUUCUCUGCAUACAAGCUAACCCAGGAAGACAAGACGCAAAUUGAAGAGUUAUCCAAGGAUCCACGUAUAGUUGAACGUGUAAGUCGGAUAUAAAUUCUUUGGAAUUCCUUCAAAGUUAAGUUCAUCCCACUUAAAAGUUAUUUCAAUUUCUCUCUCAGAUCAUUUAAAACUAAAAUUAAAAACCAAAAACCAAAAACCAAAUUUUUUUUUUAUAGUAAAAAUGUUAAGAUUCAUUACCAAUUUUCAAGUUUUUUUACAGAAAUACAGAGAUGACAAAGGAGCAGAAAGACAUAAUGAAACUAAACACAAACUCAUGCCUAGCUAAACAAGGGCUAAUCAUCAAGUUGAGCAGCUAACAAGCAAAAGAAACAUCAAAAUCGGAACAUACACUUGCCGCAGAAUCGAACCCGCAGUGAUACGAGAACUGAACCCGGUAAAGUUUGGCAUUCCCGAUGAUCAGUUCUUAAUGAUCGGACUCAUCAAAAACAGCUUGCGUCGACCUCCUAAUCUGCGGCCUUCACUUACAUACAACAACACCCGAGAACGAGCACACCCGCAGUGACUAAGACGAGCUUUAUUCGGAAAAGAGCCUCUUGGAACCGCCACACACCAUCGAUACUACACCAAGAAAACAAAGAAAGCAAGCACCACCUUGAGUCAAAGCGGACAGGAGAUAGCCCUAGAUCACGCCCCUGAAACUUGCUGCCUCAGCGUGCGCCGCCACCGAGGAGAGAAGCCGUGGUUGACAAGUCUGAUAGCUAACCUGAUGUGCCCCAGUCCAUGGAUCAGUACAUGGAACCAGCACCACAUGGAGAUCAGGACGUUCUGAACAAUUCAACCGAGGUUCAUCCAUCCAACUGUACCGAUCAGACUGGCCGAGCCGUGUACCGGAUUGACCCGCGUUCGUCCGGAAUGGAGUUUCGGCUGGAACCACGAUCAAACGACCGAACUGACCGUACCAGAGCUCGUCUUUCCCGACCAUCUCGACAUUCUAGGGACAAUAGUCGAGCCAGACUUAGCUUGGGUCAUGAAGAACCUAAAGACAUACAUGGAUUCUCACCGGGCAGACAUACAUGGAUUCUCACACUUAGCUUGGGUCAUGAAGAACCACAAGAGUCCUUAUCGUUACCGCCGUGCAUCUAUCAGGUUCAGAUGAAUCUAGACAGUAGCCGAAGGGUUUCCUUGACCAGAACGUGAACCGUAGGGUCAUCUUUGACCAAUCUGCAUGGAAAACUGAGUCUUUGACUCAUUAAUAAUAUUCUAGUCAAUGUUUCUAUUUUCUAUGUCUUGUUUUCCCACAAUUCUCUUUAAUUCUCAUUGACUACAAGUAGUAUAAUAUGUAAUCUCUUCCAUGAAUAAAAUCAGUCUAGGUUUGAGUUUAUUUUUAUUUUUUUUUCUGAGUGAGAGAGAGAGAGUUCUUUAGCUAAUUCAUUGGUGUGAACCGGCUUGUUGAUUUGGUGGUCAGCCAAUUCAUCUUUGUGUGUUGUUUGGUGGUUAGCCAACACACUACAUUCUUUCUUAGGUGGUUAGCCUUAGAUCGUGGGUAUACCAAGAGCCAUUCUGCAUCUCUUGACAAUCCUUUCAAUCCAUCUCAGUUCCAGAAGUGCCAUUUGCCUUCUCGGAUCAUAUCCAACACCCAGCUAAAGUGAUCCUUCAAUCUAGGACGUAUCAUAACCUCCUCGCACACACAUCCGCAAAGGAGAACCCGCAACAGACCCUCUAGGAUUGGUUCCGACAGCAACUCCAAAGAACUCUUGUGAAAUAGACUGACCGGUCUAAAAAAAGGAUGUCGGUGGAGACCACCAAGACAAGCGGAAGGAACACCGCAACUCCACCGUCUGGGACAGCCGUCAACGCCUUCAACCAAGCGAGUCUAAUCACCCACCCGAGAAGGAAAAGCGCAUGAUGCAGAGGAAGGAGAUAGAUCCACUUCCGAAAUCCAGAUCUGACGCCAGAUCGAGACCACCGCAACCACGCUCUACCCAAAAAACCGCACAUCCACUCCACCACCACGCUUCUCCGGAGAUCCAAGACCAACUAACACCAGAUCUGAAACCGCGGUGGUGUCAAAAGCUUAGAGCGCCGUGAAAAGAAACGAGGAGAAGAAGGGAGGGGAGAGGCGAGAGAAGGAAGAAGAACGGAGGGAAGGCGACCGGAGACAGAAGAGAGAAGUCGCCGGCCACCCAAAUCAGAACAGAUUUAAGGCUUGCUUUUCUGAUGAGUUGUUGAUAAGGUAGAGAGAGGUUAGAGGAAAAGAGAGUUAAGUGAACUAUUUUUCUUCUUCUCAACCAAAAUUUAAGUAAACAAUCAUGACCAUAGUCCAUAGAUAGGGCAUAGAUGAGAGAUAAAGAUUGUUAUUUCUAUAUUGUACUAUUUCGGUUUUAUUAUAUUAUCACUGUUUUGUAAUAAAUUAUCACAUCUUUGAUAUUGUUACAUGGUUGCUCAUAUUUUCAUGUCCAAUAUGAAUAUCUAACAAGUUCAACCUUUUAUUCACCAUUAUUAUCAAUCUGAAUGUGCGGGAAUUUAGUUCAAAAAAAAAAAAAAAAGAAUGUGCGGGAAUUCACAGGAGACGAGUAAUGAGUAUCGACAGGCCCAAUUACACAGACAGGCCCAUUUGCCAAUUUGGCGCGAAAAUCUCCCGCCUAAAUCGAAGAUACAGUCUGAUGACUGAGUAGGUGUCAUUCAUUGUGCCCUAGUUUCCAUUAUCGAGAGAGAGAGAGAGAGAGAGGGUAAAAAUGGCGGGAGAAGAUUCAGACAACCAGCCGUCGUCGCCAGCUUCACCUUCCUCGGCUGGGUUCAACACCGACCAGUUACCUUUCAGUACGAGCCAGAACUCCGAGAAUAUUUCCGAUGAAGAAGCAGAGGUAGAUCCGCAAAUCAUAAGAGAUGAGCCGGAGGAGGAAGAAGAAGAAGAUGGAGAAGAUCUCUUCAACGAUAAC